Molecule: ribosomal RNA, 1345 nt
Filed under: uncultured bacterium
Lineage: Bacteria
Description: partial 16S ribosomal RNA
Rfam family: Bacterial small subunit ribosomal RNA
Source: RNAcentral
GACGAACGCUGGCGGCGUGCUUAACACAUGCAAGUCGAACGGAAAGGCCCUGCUUUUGUGGGGUGCUCGAGUGGCGAACGGGUGAGUAACACGUGAGUAACCUGCCCUUGACUUUGGGAUAACUUCAGGAAACUGGGGCUAAUACCGGAUAGGAGCUCCUGCUGCAUGGUGGGGGUUGGAAAGUUUCGGCGGUUGGGGAUGGACUCGCGGCUUAUCAGCUUGUUGGUGGGGUAGUGGCUUACCAAGGCUUUGACGGGUAGCCGGCCUGAGAGGGUGACCGGCCACAUUGGGACUGAGAUACGGCCCAGACUCCUACGGGAGGCAGCAGUGGGGAAUAUUGCACAAUGGGCGGAAGCCUGAUGCAGCAACGCCGCGUGCGGGAUGACGGCCUUCGGGUUGUAAACCGCUUUCGCCUGUGACGAAGCGUGAGUGACGGUAAUGGGUAAAGAAGCACCGGCUAACUACGUGCCAGCAGCCGCGGUGAUACGUAGGGUGCGAGCGUUGUCCGGAUUUAUUGGGCGUAAAGGGCUCGUAGGUGGUUGAUCGCGUCGGAAGUGUAAUCUUGGGGCUUAACCCUGAGCGUGCUUUCGAUACGGGUUGACUUGAGGAAGGUAGGGGAGAAUGGAAUUCCUGGUGGAGCGGUGGAAUGCGCAGAUAUCAGGAGGAACACCAGUGGCGAAGGCGGUUCUCUGGGCCUUUCCUGACGCUGAGGAGCGAAAGCGUGGGGAGCGAACAGGCUUAGAUACCCUGGUAGUCCACGCUGUAAACGGUGGGUACUAGGUGUGGGGUCCAUUCCACGGGUUCCGUGCCGUAGCUAACGCUUUAAGUACCCCGCCUGGGGAGUACGGCCGCAAGGCUAAAACUCAAAGGAAUUGACGGGGCCCCGCACAAGCGGCGGAGCAUGCGGAUUAAUUCGAUGCAACGCGUAGAACCUUACCUGGGUUUGACAUGGAUCGGGAGUGCUCAGAGAUGGGUGUGCCUCUUUUGGGGUCGGUUCACAGGUGGUGCAUGGCUGUCGUCAGCUCGUGUCGUGAGAUGUUGGGUUAAGUCCCGCAACGAGCGCAACCCUUGUUCACUGUUGCCAGCACGUUAUGGUGGGGACUCAGUGGAGACCGCCGGGGUCAACUCGGAGGAAGGUGGGGAUGACGUCAAGUCAUCAUGCCCCUUAUGUCCAGGGCUUCACGCAUGCUACAAUGGCUGGUACAGAGAGUGGCGAGCCUGUGAGGGUGAGCGAAUCUCGGAAAGCCGGUCUCAGUUCGGAUUGGGGUCUGCAACUCGACCUCAUGAAGUCGGAGUCGCUAGUAAUCGCAGAUCAGCAACGCUGCGGAAAUACGUUCCCGGGGCU